RNAcentral lists this non-coding RNA (91 nucleotides) under Paenibacillus ihuae. RNAcentral's name for it is "TPP riboswitch (THI element)". It matches the Rfam family "TPP riboswitch aptamer (THI element)", at positions 7 to 92 of the family's 105-position model. From Rfam's summary of the family: Vitamin B(1) in its active form thiamin pyrophosphate (TPP) is an essential coenzyme that is synthesised by coupling of pyrimidine and thiazole moieties in bacteria. The previously detected thiamin-regulatory element, thi box was extended, resulting in a new, highly conserved RNA secondary structure, the THI element, which is widely distributed in eubacteria and also occurs in some archaea. Lineage: Bacteria; Bacillati; Bacillota; Bacilli; Caryophanales; Paenibacillaceae. The record is from RNAcentral.
CACUAGGGGAGCCUGAAUUGGCUGAGACGGAAAAAGUGAAUUUCCGGACCCUUGAACCUGAUCUGGAUCAUACCAGCGUAGGAAAGUGGAG